GUGGGGAAUCUUGCGCAAUGGGCGAAAGCCUGACGCAGCCAUGCCGCGUGGAUGAUGAAGGUCUUAGGAUUGUAAAAUUCUUUCACCGGGGACGAUAAUGACGGUACCCGGAGAAGAAGCUCCGGCUAACUUCGUGCCAGCAGCCGCGGUAAUACGAAGGGGGCUAGCGUUGCUCGGAAUUACUGGGCGUAACGGGCGCGUAGGCGGACAGCUUAGUCAGAGGUGAAAGCCCAGGGCUCAACCUUGGAAUUGCCUUUGAUACUGGCUGUCUUGAGUUUGGGAGAGGUGAGUGGAACUCCGAGUGUAGAGGUGAAAUUCGUAGAUAUUCGGAAGAACACCAGUGGCGAAGGCGACUCACUGGCCCAAUACUGACGCUGAGGCGCGAAAGCGUGGGGAGCAAACAGGAUUAGAAACCCUGGUAGUCC
This 425-nucleotide ribosomal RNA is filed under the name uncultured bacterium. RNAcentral describes it as "partial 16S ribosomal RNA". It matches the Rfam family "Bacterial small subunit ribosomal RNA", at positions 354 to 796 of the family's 1533-position model. The record is from RNAcentral.